UACAGAGGGUGCGAGCGUUAAUCGGAGUUACUGGGCGUAAAGGGCGCGUAGGCGGUCAUUUAAGAUAGAUGUGAAAUCCCUGGGCUUAACCUAGGAAUGGCAUUUAAGACUGGAUGACUGGAGUACAGUAGAGGGUGGCGGAAUUUCCGGUGUAGCGGUGAAAUGCGUAGAGAUCGGAAGGAACACCAGUGGCGAAGGCGGCCACCUGGACCACAACUGACGCUGAGGCGCGAAAGCUAGGGGAGCAAACAGG
This 253-nucleotide ribosomal RNA is filed under the name uncultured prokaryote. RNAcentral describes it as "partial 16S ribosomal RNA". It matches the Rfam family "Bacterial small subunit ribosomal RNA", at positions 524 to 776 of the family's 1533-position model. The record is from RNAcentral.